This is a long non-coding RNA of Capra hircus (goat), 236 nucleotides long. RefSeq lists it as uncharacterized. The record is from RefSeq and is a predicted model, not a curated record. Lineage: Eukaryota; Metazoa; Chordata; Mammalia; Artiodactyla; Bovidae. The transcript is spliced from 3 exons.
UCUAUGCUGCAAACUCCUGGAAAGGGACUUGUGGUUUCAGCAUCUCAAAAGGAAUCUUUUUUUUCCCCCACUGCAUCAUUACCAGGCUUGAAGAACAUAUAAAGCUGUUAUCAAAUAAACAUGUGUAGCCAAAAAUGAAAGGGGGAAAGCAUUACAGAGGUGUAGAAGGGGAAUGAACAUCGGCAGAGAAUGGACCAUAACCAGGGAUUGAUCAUUGGACACUCAAAACCAAGAGG